UAAUACGAAGGGGGCUAGCGUUGUUCGGAAUUACUGGGCGUAAAGCGUGCGCAGGCGGCUUCUCAAGUCAGGGGUGAAAGCCCAGAGCUCAACUCUGGAAUUGCCUUUGAGACUGAGAGGCUUGAGUACGGGAGAGGUGAGUGGAAUUCCCAGUGUAGAGGUGAAAUUCGUAGAUAUUGGGAAGAACACCGGUGGCGAAGGCGGCUCACUGGCCCGAAACUGACGCUCAUGCACGACAGCGUGGGGAUCAAACAGGAUUAGAUACCCUGGUAGUCCACGCCGUAAACUAUGAACGCUAGCCGUUGGCAGGCUUGCCUGUCAGUGGCGCAGCUAACGCAUUAAGCGUUCCGCCUGGGGAGUACGGCCGCAAGGUU
This 374-nucleotide ribosomal RNA is filed under the name uncultured bacterium. Its description in RNAcentral is "bacterial SSU rRNA". It matches the Rfam family "Bacterial small subunit ribosomal RNA", at positions 521 to 895 of the family's 1533-position model. The record is from RNAcentral.